GUGAACGCUGGCGGCGUGCCUAAUACCUGCAAGUCGCGCGCACAGACGAGGAGCUUGCUCCUCUGACGUUAGCGGCGGACGGGUGAGUAACACGUGGAUAACCUACCUAUAAGACUGGGAUAACUUCGGGAAACCGGAGCUAAUACCGGAUAAUAUAUUGAACCGCAUGGUUCAAUAGUGAAAGACGGUUUUGCUGUCACUUAUAGAUGGAUCCGCGCCGCAUUAGCUAGUUGGUAAGGUAACGGCUUACCAAGGCAACGAUGCGUAGCCGACCUGAGAGGGUGGUCGGCCACACUCGAACUGCGACACGGUCCAUACUCCUACGGCAGGCAGCAGUAGGGAAUCUUCCGCAAUGGGCGCAAGCCUGACGGAGCAACGCCGCGUGAGUGAUGAAGGUCUUCGGAUCGUAAAACGCUGUUAUUAGGGAAGAACAAAUGUGUAAGUAACUAUGCACGUCUUGACGGUACCUAAUCAGAAAGCCACGGCUAACUACGUG
RNAcentral lists this ribosomal RNA (496 nucleotides) under uncultured bacterium. Its description in RNAcentral is "partial 16S ribosomal RNA". It matches the Rfam family "Bacterial small subunit ribosomal RNA", at positions 29 to 507 of the family's 1533-position model. The record is from RNAcentral.